AAUUAGAACAUUUUUAGAGGACAUUUUAUAAGAUAGUGGAGAAAUUCCAAUGUCUUAAAUGAAAUCUUUUUUGUUUUUAAGAUGAAGUUACUUACUCCAGGAGAAGAGAAAACGCAGGGAAGAUCUCAGUCUGCCUCAAACAUUUUAGCAUCAAUAUAUAAAAGAGGGAAUGCCUAGGGUUUAAUCACAGAUAUCACAAUUCCAGAUUGUGUGAACUAAAGCAAAUUGUUUAAUAAGCAUCGGCACCUGUGAAAACACAAAGGAAAGUCCCUUAAACCAGAAUGAAUCUGUCCCAACUGCAAAUAUUGGUAGAAAAAUCCCUACCCCCAAAUUUUACACAACUUGGUUAGAACUCCCUCUGCUGGUGAAUCCAGUAAAAUCCCCUCGACUACGGAUCUAGUUUACAACAUUCACUGAGAA
RNAcentral lists this long non-coding RNA (420 nucleotides) under Pan troglodytes (chimpanzee). RNAcentral describes it as "long non-coding RNA NONPTRT012966". The record is from RNAcentral. Lineage: Eukaryota; Metazoa; Chordata; Mammalia; Primates; Hominidae.